This 486-nucleotide ribosomal RNA is filed under the name uncultured bacterium. RNAcentral's name for it is "partial 16S ribosomal RNA". It matches the Rfam family "Bacterial small subunit ribosomal RNA", at positions 30 to 507 of the family's 1533-position model. The record is from RNAcentral.
AUUGAACGCUGGCGGCAUGCCUUACACAUGCAAGUCGAACGGCAGCACGGGUGCUUGCACCUGGUGGCGAGUGGCGAACGGGUGAGUAAUACAUCGGAACAUGUCCUGUAGCGGGGGAUAGCCCGGCGAAAGCCGGAUUAAUACCGCAUACGAUCUACGGAUGAAAGCGGGGGACCUUCGGGCCUCGCGCUGUAGGGUUGGCCGAUGGCUGAUUAGCUAGUUGGUGGGGUAAAGGCCUACCAAGGCGACGAUCAGUAGCUGGUCUGAGAGGACGACCAGCCACACUGGGACUGAGACACGGCCCAGACUCCUACGAGAGGCAGCAGUGGGGAAUGUUGGACAAUGGGCGAAAGCCUGAUCCAGCAAUGCCGCGUGUGUGAAGAAGGCCUUCGGGUUGUAAAGCACUUUUGUCCGGAAAGAAAUCCUUGGCCCUAAUACGGUCGGGGGAUGACGGUACCGGAAGAAUAAGCACCGGCUAACUACGUG